ACUAACCAUAGCGCGAGAACUCGCAAUCCAGAGUUCCUACGAUAUCAUGAGAUUCCAUGUGGUUGCUGGGAACUGAACUCAGAACUUCUGGAAAAGCAGCCAGUGCUCUUAACUAUUGAGCCAUCUCUCCAAGUCCAUCCCCCUACAAUAUCAAAAGAAGAAUUAUGGAUGAAGAAUGUUACAGGAACUAAACAGAUGAUUUUGAGGCAAAUAAGAAAUCCAAAUGAAGCUGAAAUUAUGGCAAGCUCAAAUUAAGACAAACAACUUUAUAUAUUUCAACACACAGG
Grammomys surdaster is the source of this 287-nucleotide long non-coding RNA. RefSeq lists it as uncharacterized. The transcript has 3 exons. NCBI's taxonomy places the organism in Eukaryota, Metazoa, Chordata, Mammalia, Rodentia, Muridae. The record is from RefSeq and is a predicted model, not a curated record.